Molecule: ribosomal RNA, 327 nt
Filed under: uncultured eukaryote
Lineage: Eukaryota
Description: partial 18S ribosomal RNA
Rfam family: Eukaryotic small subunit ribosomal RNA
Source: RNAcentral
CCCUUAGAUGUCUGGGGCCGCACGCGCGCUACAAUGGAUGAAUCAACGCGUCAUCCUGGCCCGAAAGGGUUGGGGAACCGCUGAACCUCAUCCGUGGUUGGGAUUGGGGUUUGUAAUUAUUCCCCAUGAACUAGGAAUUCCCAGUAAGCGCGAGUCAUAAGCUCGCGUUGAUUACGUCCCUGCCCUUUGUACACACCGCCCGUCGCUACUACCGAUUGGAUGGUUUAGUGAGAUCCUCGGAUUGGUCACGGCACGGUGGCAACACUGCGUCGGUGUGCCGAGAAGACGAUCAAACUUGAUCAUCUAGAGGAAGUAAAAGUCGUAACA